RNAcentral lists this transfer RNA (91 nucleotides) under Clostridiales bacterium. RNAcentral's name for it is "tRNA-Ser". It matches the Rfam family "tRNA". Rfam says of the family: Transfer RNA (tRNA) molecules are approximately 80 nucleotides in length. Their secondary structure includes four short double-helical elements and three loops (D, anti-codon, and T loops). Lineage: Bacteria; Bacillati; Bacillota; Clostridia; Eubacteriales. The record is from RNAcentral.
GGAGCAGUACUCAAGUUGGUGACGAGGCGCCCCUGCUAAGGGCGUAGGCGUCGUAAGGCGCGCGAGAGUUCGAGUCUCUCCUGCUCCGCCA